GACGAACGCUGGCGGCAUGCCUAACACAUGCAAGUCUAGGGUGUAGCAAUACACACUGGCGCACGGGUGAGUAACGCGUAGAUCAUCUGCCCCUAUCACCGACAUAACUCUUGGAAACGGGAGCUAAUAUCGGAUGAGGUGAGCAAUCAUCAAAGUUUCGACGGAUAGGGAUGAGUCUGCGUCUGAUUAGGUAGUUGGUGAGGUAAUGGCUCACCAAGCCUACGAUCAGUAGCUGGUCUGAGAGGACGAACAGCCACACUGGAACUGAGACACGGUCCAGACUCCUACGGGAGCAGCAGUGAGGAAUAUUGGACAAUGGGAGCAAUCCU
Molecule: ribosomal RNA, 329 nt
Filed under: uncultured bacterium
Lineage: Bacteria
Description: bacterial SSU rRNA
Rfam family: Bacterial small subunit ribosomal RNA
Source: RNAcentral